RNAcentral lists this ribosomal RNA (253 nucleotides) under uncultured bacterium. RNAcentral's name for it is "partial 16S ribosomal RNA". It matches the Rfam family "Bacterial small subunit ribosomal RNA", at positions 524 to 776 of the family's 1533-position model. The record is from RNAcentral.
UACGUAGGUGGCAAGCGUUAUCCGGAUUUACUGGGUGUAAAGGGGGCGCAGACGGCGAUGCAAGCCAGGAGUGAAAGCCCGGGGCCCAACCCCGGGACUGCUCUUGGAACUGCGUGGCUGGAGUGCAGGAGGGGCAGGCGGAAUUCCUGGUGUAGCGGUGAAAUGCGUAGAUAUUAGGAGGAACACCAGUGGCGAAGGCGGCUUACUGGACUGUAACUGACGUUGAGGCUCGAAAGCGUGGGGAGCAAACAGG